AUUUAACGCUGGCGGAAUGCUUUACACAUGCAAGUCGAACGGCAGCACGGACUUCGGUCUGGUGGCGAGUGGCGAACGGGUGAGUAAUGUAUCGGAACGUGCCCAGUCGUGGGGGAUAACGUAGUGGAAAUUACGCUAAUACCGCAUACGAUCUUUGGAUGAAAGCGGGGUACCGCAAGACCUCGCGCACUUGGCGCGUACGAUAUCAGAUUAGGUAGUGGGGGGGGUAAAGGCCCACCCAGCCAACGAUCUGUAGCUGGUCUGAGAGGACGACCAGCCACACUGGAACCGAGACACGGUCCAGACUCCUACGGGAGGCAGCAGUGGGGAAUUUUGGACAAUGGGCGAAAGCCUGAUCCAGCCAUUCCGCGUGCAGGAUGAAGGCCCUCGGGUUGUAAACUGCUUUUGUACAGAACGAAAAGGUUUCUACUAAUACUAGGAGCUCAUGACGGUACUGUAAGAAUAAGCACCGGCUAACUACGUGCCAGCCGCCGCUGUAA
RNAcentral lists this ribosomal RNA (500 nucleotides) under uncultured bacterium. RNAcentral describes it as "partial 16S ribosomal RNA". It matches the Rfam family "Bacterial small subunit ribosomal RNA", at positions 32 to 523 of the family's 1533-position model. The record is from RNAcentral.